RNAcentral lists this long non-coding RNA (821 nucleotides) under Dromaius novaehollandiae (emu). Its description in RNAcentral is "lncRNA (ENSDNVG00000006350.1)". Lineage: Eukaryota; Metazoa; Chordata; Aves; Casuariiformes; Dromaiidae. The record is from RNAcentral.
CAACCGCCGCGCGCGCUGAGGCCGCCGGCGCCAACGGYCGCCUCCAGCGGCCGCGGGAGCACCUCGUGGGAGGGGGCCGAAGGCCGCUGUUUCUGCGCUGUCUUCCCGGCUCUCCGAGUCUUCCCGGCGUCCCUCUCUGCCUCAGGCCUUCCGUGCAGUGCAGCCUGGUGCUUUAGGACGGUCUCCUCAGAGGUGGGAGAUAAGGAGCAGAGUCAUGAUUUUUAGCCUUUGGGACCAGCUGCACUCCACUAUUUCCUUUUUACAGGAAGUGAAAGCACAAAUUAGAUUUGUGCAGGAUUGUUGCCUACCUGUCCUGAGGAGUGUACACCUGUUAGAGAGCAGUGGGCAUAAUCUACAACAAGGAAGAAAGUCACAGACAAAGAGUAAAGUUUAUUCUAGGGAAGUUGUGGUUGGAGGAGGAAGGAAGAAGGGAGAACUGAGACUGAGAAGGAAACAGGCUCCUAUUAUCAGUGUCAGUGAGCAGACUUGGCUCUUGCAUGGUCGUCAGGUGCUGCCAAGAAAAUUCUAGCUGGCCUCACUCUGGAGCAUGGUCAGUGCAAAUGAAAUGUAUUAUUUACUGUAAAGCUGUCUUUUCUAAGCAUAUGAUGACUGUAUUUUUAAAUGCAGAUAAUUUAGGCAGACUUCUACAGGCAGGACUGUAGCACGUGCUUCCUGUAAGAACAUUCCUUGCUAUAUUUUAGUUGCCUGCUUGAAAGCACAGAAUUUCUAUAGCUUUUCAGUUAAUAGCUCGUAAGAAUUUCAUUUAAUAUUAGGGAACAGCACACUUUCUUUAAGCUGUUUUUGCUAAAAUCAAGACAAAA